GGUCAGGAUGAACGCUGACAGAAUGCUUAACACAUGCAAGUCUACUUGAUCCUCGGUGAAGGUGGCGGACGGGUGAGUAACGCGUAAAGAACUUGCCUUACAGACUGGGACAACAUUUGGAAACGAAUGCUAAUACCGGAUAUUAUGAUUGGGUCGCAUGAUCUGGUUAUGAAAGCUAUAUGCGCUGUGAGAGAGCUUUGCGUCCCAUUAGUUAGUUGGUGAGGUAACGGCUCACCAAGACGAUGAUGGGUAGCCGGCCUGAGAGGGUGAACGGCCACAAGGGGACUGAGACACGGCCCUUACUCCUACGGGAGGCAGCAGUGGGGAAUAUUGGACAAUGGACCAAAAGUCUGAUCCAGCAAUUUCCUGUGUGCACGAUGAAGUUUUUCGGAAUGUAAAGUGCUUUCAGUUGGGAAGAAGUCAGUGACGGUACCAACAGAAGAAGCGACGGCUAAAUACGUGCCAGCAGCAGC
RNAcentral lists this ribosomal RNA (473 nucleotides) under uncultured bacterium. RNAcentral's name for it is "bacterial SSU rRNA". It matches the Rfam family "Bacterial small subunit ribosomal RNA", at positions 22 to 518 of the family's 1533-position model. The record is from RNAcentral.